GACGAACGCUGGCGGCGUGCUUAACACAUGCAAGUCGAACGGAAAGGCCCUGCUUUUGUGGGGUGCUCGAGUGGCGAACGGGUGAGUAACACGUGAGUAACCUGCCCUUGACUUUGGGAUAAAUUCAGGAAACUGGGGCUAAUACCGGAUAGGAGCUCCUGCUGCAUGGUGGGGGUUGGAAAGUUUCGGCGGUUGGGGAUGGACUCGCGGCUUAUCAGCUUGUUGGUGGGGUAGUGGCUUACCAAGGCUUUGACGGGUAGCCGGCCUGAGAGGGUGACCGGCCACAUUAGGACUGAGAUACGGCCCAGACUCCUACGGGAGGCAGCAGUGGGGAAUAUUGCACAAUGGGCGGAAGCCUGAUGCAGCAACGCCGCGUGCGGGAUGACGGCCUUCGGGUUGUAAACCGCUUUCGCCUGUGACGAAGCGUGAGUGACGGUAAUGGGUAAAGAAGCACCGGCUAACUACGUG
Molecule: ribosomal RNA, 468 nt
Filed under: uncultured bacterium
Lineage: Bacteria
Description: partial 16S ribosomal RNA
Rfam family: Bacterial small subunit ribosomal RNA
Source: RNAcentral